This 74-nucleotide microRNA precursor is filed under the name Callithrix jacchus (white-tufted-ear marmoset). Its description in RNAcentral is "Cja-Mir-433_pre stem-loop". It matches the Rfam family "mir-433 microRNA precursor family", at positions 12 to 84 of the family's 93-position model. RNAcentral also lists the same sequence under 8 other names. Lineage: Eukaryota; Metazoa; Chordata; Mammalia; Primates; Cebidae. The record is from RNAcentral.
UACGGUGAGCCUGUCAUUAUUCAGAGAGGCUAGAUCCUCUGUGUUGAGAAGGAUCAUGAUGGGCUCCUCGGUGU